AGCACGAAUUACCAUCAUUCCUUAGGAAUGGUGGGCUAUGUGAUGUGCUUUUGAGUUGCCAAACCCACCCUUGAGGUGGGUUUU
This 84-nucleotide small RNA is filed under the name Marinobacter zhejiangensis. Its description in RNAcentral is "Pseudomonas sRNA P9". It matches the Rfam family "Pseudomonas sRNA P9". From Rfam's summary of the family: P9 appears to be conserved in several Pseudomonas species in addition to Bordetella spp. The record is from RNAcentral. Lineage: Bacteria; Pseudomonadati; Pseudomonadota; Gammaproteobacteria; Pseudomonadales; Marinobacteraceae.